Cricetulus griseus (Chinese hamster) is the source of this 122-nucleotide small nuclear RNA. Lineage: Eukaryota; Metazoa; Chordata; Mammalia; Rodentia; Cricetidae. The record is from Ensembl.
GUGUUGUAUGAAAGGAGAGGUUAGCAUUCCCCUUGACAAGGAUGGAAGAGGCCCGUGGGCCUAACACACACACACAGGUAAGGCAUUGCCACCUACUUCGUGGCAUCUAACCACUGUUUUUA